RNAcentral lists this ribosomal RNA (423 nucleotides) under uncultured eukaryote. RNAcentral describes it as "partial small subunit ribosomal RNA". It matches the Rfam family "Eukaryotic small subunit ribosomal RNA", at positions 587 to 972 of the family's 1831-position model. The record is from RNAcentral.
AGCUCUAAUAGCAUACGUUAAAGUUGUUGCGGUUAAAACGCUCGUAGUCGGCAACAGAUCUUCAGAACCAUUCAUCGGGAAUCGGGUCAGCUACUCUACUCGAGUGCGCCGAGGUACUUGUGGGUGGGGACGUCGAUCAAGUGCACUCCUCGCUGUCCUUCGGGUCACAGGGUAUUCGGGCUUGCUCGGGUACUCGGCUUGGUUUGCCAAUCACUAUGACUAAACUGGCGUGAUCAAAGCAGGUCUUUCGACACGUACAGCUCAGCAUAGCAUGAAAAUUACUCUCACGGACGUACUGCGAGCGCCCGUGGGGGUAAAAGCGAUAGGGGUGUUCGAGGGUGACCGAAUUGCUGGGCGAGUGGUGAAAUACGUUGACCCUAGCAAGUCGACCAAAGGCGAAAGCAGUCAUCAAGGACACGCCCG